This 481-nucleotide small RNA is filed under the name Arabidopsis thaliana (thale cress). RNAcentral's name for it is "ATSL140650". Lineage: Eukaryota; Viridiplantae; Streptophyta; Magnoliopsida; Brassicales; Brassicaceae. The record is from RNAcentral.
CAAGUUCUUUUUUCAGGCAUUAAGGAAAACAUAACCUCCGUGAUGCAUAGAGAUUAUUGGAUCCGCUGUGCUGAGACAUUGAGUUUUUCUUCGGCAUUCCAGUUUCAAUGAUAAAGCGGUGUUAUCCUAUCUGAGCUUUUAGUCGGAUUUUUUCUUUUCAAUUAUUGUGUUUUAUCUAGAUGAUGCAUUUCAUUAUUCUCUUUUUCUUGACCUUGUAAGGCCUUUUCUUGACCUUGUAAGACCCCAUCUCUUUCUAAACGUUUUAUUAUUUUCUCGUUUUACAGAUUCUAUUCUAUCUCUUCUCAAUAUAGAAUAGAUAUCUAUCUCUACCUCUAAUUCGUUCGAGUCAUUUUCUCCUACCUUGUCUAUCCCUCCUGAGCUAAUCUCCACAUAUAUCUUUUGUUUGUUAUUGAUGUAUGGUUGACAUAAAUUCAAUAAAGAAGUUGACGUUUUUCUUAUUUGAUUUUUGUUGUUGUUGGUU